This 350-nucleotide ribosomal RNA is filed under the name uncultured bacterium. RNAcentral's name for it is "bacterial SSU rRNA". It matches the Rfam family "Bacterial small subunit ribosomal RNA", at positions 126 to 507 of the family's 1533-position model. The record is from RNAcentral.
CUACCCUCGAGUGGGGAAUAACUUCGGGAAACCGAGGCUAAUACCGCAUAAUACCCACGGGUCAAAGGAGCAAUUCGCUUGAGGAGGAGGUCGCGGCCGAUUAGUUAGUUGGCGGGGUAAUGGCCCCACCAAGACGGUGAUCGGUAUCCGGCCUGAGAGGGCGCACGGACACACUGGAACUGAAACACGGUCCAGACUCCUACGGGAGGCAGCAGUGGGGAAUUUUGCGCAAUGGGGGAAACCCUGACGCAGCAACGCCGCGUGGAGGAUGAAGUCUCUUGGGACGUAAACUCCUUUCGAUCGGGACGAUUAUGACGGUACCGGAAGAAGAAGCCCCGGCUAACUUCGUG